CUGCUAUAUGACCCUACUUGCCCAAUACUCCACUUCAUCAAGGUGAAGUGACCCACCAAGAGAGACUUUCAGGGUCUGGGCAUUACCAGUUUUUCAGAUAAAAGAUGCCUAUUUUAUUCUGGCUGAAAGCAUGAACAGAAUAAACAAUGAGCUCUGUGAAGAAUGUUCUAUGAACCCGAAUCAAACUCAAACUCCUGUGUCACUCCGGUACGCCUGAUCACUGGAUAUAACCACGUAUUGGUCCAGAACCUCCCUCUCUGUUACUACUCCCUUUGGAUUUAUCCAGUAGUCUUAGACGUCACCAGGGCCAAGCCAUGCAUAUAUAGAUUGAAAUGUUGUUUUCAAAACCUACUCAAGCUAUCUCUUGAUGAACAAGAUUAGUACCAUCUGAUUACAACCCUGAAGGCAUGUAUAGGCAAAAAGGAAAGUCCAAAGAGAGGAAAAGAAAGCAGGAGAGAUCUGAAAUGACACAAGAAGUGACUCAGAAUGGGAAGAUUGUGCACUCCUUGUUGUCCCCUAAUGCACAUGGAAGUAUGCAACAGAAGCUGUGAAAAUAACCCAGAGUUUCGCUCGUGUUGCCCAGGCUGGAGUGCAAUGACA
Molecule: long non-coding RNA, 600 nt
Organism: Homo sapiens (human)
Lineage: Eukaryota; Metazoa; Chordata; Mammalia; Primates; Hominidae
Gene: CTNNA3-AS1
Product: CTNNA3 antisense RNA 1
Exons: 5
Source: RefSeq, a predicted model, not a curated record